Molecule: long non-coding RNA, 1282 nt
Organism: Pecten maximus
Lineage: Eukaryota; Metazoa; Mollusca; Bivalvia; Pectinida; Pectinidae
Exons: 4
Source: RefSeq, a predicted model, not a curated record
CAGACGUGUGCUCUUCCGAUCGCAAACAUUAACAGUUUGACUUCUUAAAUUCUCUGGACAUUAAAUGAAUGCCAGGGAAAAAUAUGCUUGUGUUGCGGCUGAUGUGAUUGACUGAAAUGAAGUCCUGCAGACAGUGCAUAUGUUGUCUCUGGGAUGAAGUGGAUCAGAAGAUGUAGAAUGAAGGAGUAUGUAACUUUCGAUUUUUGCCAUGGGGACUCCAUCCUGCACGGACAACAUAAUUAACGUAUUGACAGUGACAUGUAGUAUUGGUGUGUACGAGUUCUGUUGCAUCAUUUAAUGUUGUACAUUUAAAACAUUUUGUUGUAAAUGUUAACUUUUUUAGUCUAGCUCCUGUACAUGUCAACAUGAACUGUGUUCAGAACUGGAGCUUCAAAUAUUUUACCACUUGGUCUGGCUUUCAUAGAUCUAUUAAUAAUCCAGGCAAAAUCAUGAGAUAAUACAAUUUGAUUUAAAUCCAUACAUGUAAAGAUGAAUUGUGUCAAGAUCAAAAUAUUAAUAUCAGUUGAGUGUUAAUCUAAGUGUGUCUGCCUUGUGCAAUUUUGCAUAGCAUUGUUCUGCCUUUAUAGAACAACAUAUUUCUUUGAACAAUGUAAAUGUAACGUUUGACAUCAGGUCAUAAAACGGUCAUACAGAAGAUGUAGGAAAUGAUGUUGGUGUGAUAUAGCAUGGUGUUACAUCAUAAGCCCUCCCUAUUUAAUUCAUCCUCCAUAGGAUGUCGCUAAGUCAAAAAGUGAGAGCUAGUCCCUGUAUAAAUGGGAAUGGUUGAGAAUAAUAAUAACAUGCAGGUACAUGGUUUAGUCUUUCCUAGCAAAUUUCCUGAAUCACCAUUAUGACGCAAAUGACAAAUUAACUCUCAUUGUUCAAUUUAUGUACAUAAGUGUCAUGGUUUGCCGACAUGAGAUUUUAUUCUUAACUUAUCUCAUUUCAUGUAUAUAAUUCUGUACAUUUGUAUUUUAGUUUUGUCUAAAUUUCCGAUUACUAAAAAAGCACAAAUCAUAUAGGGUGGAAUAUCUGGACCACAAACAUAGAACUAUGAUGUCAUUAAUUAUAAACCUCAGAUACACAUUGAUAUAUCAACAGGGGGAACACGGGAUACAACACAAAACAAGGUUUUUAAGUCACUAAUAUUUUUUUUCUUUCCUUAAUUUAUGGUGUAAAAUAUGUAGAUGAAAUUUAAACUGAUCAAUGAUCAUGUAAAUCUAAUACAUUAUUUGUUGUAUAGAAAAGAUGAUGACCGAAUAAAAGAUGUUUUGUAAGAAUA